This 545-nucleotide ribosomal RNA is filed under the name uncultured Bacteroidales bacterium. RNAcentral describes it as "bacterial SSU rRNA". It matches the Rfam family "Bacterial small subunit ribosomal RNA", at positions 185 to 727 of the family's 1533-position model. The record is from RNAcentral. Lineage: Bacteria; Pseudomonadati; Bacteroidota; Bacteroidia; Bacteroidales.
GAGGCAUCUCUCCGGGGUUGAAAAACUCCGGUGGUUAUAGAUGGACAUGCGUUGUAUUAGCUAGUUGGUGAGGUAACGGCUCACCAAGGCAACGAUACAUAGGGGGACUGAGAGGUUAACCCCCCACACUGGUACUGAGACACGGACCAGACUCCUACGGGAGGCAGCAGUGAGGAAUAUUGGUCAAUGGACGCAAGUCUGAACCAGCCAUGCCGCGUGCAGGAAGACGGCUCUAUGAGUUGUAAACUGCUUUUGUACGAGGGUAAACUCACCUACGUGUAGGUGACUGAAAGUAUCGUACGAAUAAGGAUCGGCUAACUCCGUGCCAGCAGCCGCGGUAAUACGGAGGAUUCAAGCGUUAUCCGGAUUUAUUGGGUUUAAAGGGUGCGUAGGCGGUUUGAUAAGUUAGAGGUGAAAUCCCGGGGCUUAACUCCGGAACUGCCUCUAAUACUGUUAGACUAGAGAGUAGUUGCGGUAGGCGGAAUGUAUGGUGUAGCGGUGAAAUGCUUAGAGAUCAUACAGAACACCGAUUGCGAAGGCAGCUU